Caenorhabditis elegans is the source of this 21-nucleotide non-coding RNA. Lineage: Eukaryota; Metazoa; Nematoda; Chromadorea; Rhabditida; Rhabditidae. The record is from Ensembl.
UUUCACUUUUUUGCUUGCCUA